This 462-nucleotide ribosomal RNA is filed under the name uncultured bacterium. RNAcentral describes it as "bacterial SSU rRNA". It matches the Rfam family "Bacterial small subunit ribosomal RNA", at positions 21 to 507 of the family's 1533-position model. The record is from RNAcentral.
GGCUCAGGAUGAACGCUAGCGGAAGGCUUAAUACAUGCAAGUCGAGCGGUAGGUGGCUUCGGCCAUUGAGAGCGGCGCACGGGUGAGUAACGCGUACAUGACCUGCCUGUCAGAAGGGAUAGCCCUGGGAAACUGGGAUUAAUACCCUAUGGUAUUGAUAUUAUGAAUGAUAUCAAUUAAAGUUGAGGCGCUGACAGAUGGAUGUGCGUCUGAUUAGCUAGUUGGUGGGGUAAAGGCCUACCAAGGCGACGAUCCAUAGCUGGUCUGAGAGGAUGAUCAGCCACACUGGGACUGAGACACGGCCCAGACUCCUACGGGAGGCAGCAGUGGGGAAUAUUGGACAAUGGGCGAAAGCCUGAUCCAGCAAUGCCGCGUGAGUGAUGAAGGCCUUAGGGUUGUAAAGCUCUUUUACCCGAGAUGAUAAUGACAGUAUCGGGAGAAUAAGCUCCGGCUAACUCCGUG